UUGGGAGAAAGCAUGCUUUUCUCCCCUUUCCUAUUUUCAAGUAAUUCUGUGACAAAGAAUCAAGAUAUGUGUAGACCUGACUGGAAAUUCUCUGUGGUUAAAAUAUAAACUGUUUAACACUGUCGUGUUGCCUGCCUCACAAAUGCCUUCUCGGCAGGCCAGGACCUUGAAGAAAGCCAUAAAAGGGAAGGAAUAUAAUUUUGUUUGUUGGCACUUACUGAAAAGCUAAAAGAGAAUAGUAACAGCAAUCCCUUUUGCCAGCUCCAACCAAAGAAGUUGUGAGAUCACAAGUUACAGGGGAAACGAACCUCCCAUGUUCUCGGCUAUGUUACAGAGGAGCGGAAGGGGUCAGUUUAUCAAUACUGAUCUAAAGCAGCACAGAGCAGAUAUGUCAGUUCCAAUCUACAGAGCCAUUGAGGUGUGACCCAGAACCCCAGAGGAGGGCAGUGAGGACUAAGUAGCGCUCUUGGCAUUUCAUGCAUGCCAAUGGGUCUGCUCAUUGAGUAAAGGAAAAUGUUCUCAGGAAAUGAGAAAAAGUCAUACUUCGGAUCAGCAGCACUGAGUCAGAGAGGCUGGGAAGAAUGGAGCUCAGUAUGAAGAAUGAGGAAUGGGGAGAGAGCAAACUGUGCAAUUAGCCAGGACAACAGACACCUGGAGCCGAGAUCGCAGCACUGGUGCUCAUUAAUAGCUGUGGUUAGACAUCCUCCACCCAUCAAGUACAGCUAUUACUGGACUCUUAUCUUCAUAUUAGGACCCUUAGGCUUGUAACAAGGGAAUGUCUGCCUAAGCUGCUUUCAAAGUACCUGGAGUUUAAUAAAUUGUCACCACCACUGUUGUAGUUUAUAAAUUUGAACUCUGAAGAAUCACACAUAACCAAAGAUAGGUGCAGUCACAGUGGAAAGGGCUGUACUCAGGAGCAACUGAAGAGAACGCAUAGCCCAGUUGCCUAAAGAUACAUUUUUAAUCAGUAAAUACCCCGUGAUGAAGAAACUGGUUUCUAGCCAGAGUCACAGGACUGAGAGCUGGAACUUCAGGGAGGGAGACAACCAACCACACGAAGGUAAAAUCAGGUCCAGCAUUCAGAAUCCAGGCUAGCUGGGUGAGCUAGCAGCAGAGAGACAAUAGUUCUUUCCAGCAGACUGGAAUUGCUGACAUUCCUUCAGGCUAAGAA
This is a non-coding RNA of Rattus norvegicus (Norway rat), 1171 nucleotides long. The record is from RefSeq and is a predicted model, not a curated record. NCBI's taxonomy places the organism in Eukaryota, Metazoa, Chordata, Mammalia, Rodentia, Muridae.